Molecule: ribosomal RNA, 459 nt
Filed under: uncultured bacterium
Lineage: Bacteria
Description: partial 16S ribosomal RNA
Rfam family: Bacterial small subunit ribosomal RNA
Source: RNAcentral
CCUACGGGGGGCAGCAGUGAGGAAUAUUGGUCAAUGGGCGCGAGCCUGAACCAGCCAAGUCGCGUGAGGGAAGACGGUCCUAUGGAUUGUAAACCUCUUUUGUCGGGGAGCAAAAGACGCCACGCGUGGCGUUCCGAGCGUACCCUAAGAACAAGCAUCGGCAAACUCCGUGCCAGCAGCCGCGGUAAUACGGAGGAUGCGAGCGUUAUCCGGAUUUAUUGGGUUUAAGGGGUGCGCAGGCGGAAGCUCAAGUCAGCGGUAAAAUUGAGAGGCUCAACCUCUUCGAGCCGUUGAAACUGGUUGUCUUGAGUGAGUGAGAAGUAUGCGGAAUGCGUGGUGUAGCGGUGAAAUGCAUAGAUAUCACGCAGAACUCCGAUUGCGAAGGCAGCAUACCGGCGCGCAACUGACGCUCAUGCACGAAAGUGUGGGUAUCGAACAGGAUUAGAUACCCCUGUAGUC